Molecule: ribosomal RNA, 253 nt
Filed under: uncultured bacterium
Lineage: Bacteria
Description: partial 16S ribosomal RNA
Rfam family: Bacterial small subunit ribosomal RNA
Source: RNAcentral
UACGCAGGGGGCUAGCGUUGCUCGGAAUCACUGGGCGUAAAGCGCACGUAGGCGGGUCUUUAAGUCAGGGGUGAAAUCCUGGAGCUCAACUCCAGAACUGCCUUUGAUACUGAGGAUCUCGAGUCCGGGAGAGGUGAGUGGAACUCCGAGUGUAGAGGUGAAAUUCGUAGAUAUUCGGAAGAACACCAGUGGCGAAGGCGGCUCACUGGCCCGGUACUGACGCUGAUGUGCGAAAGCGUGGGGAGCAAACAGG